RNAcentral lists this ribosomal RNA (1000 nucleotides) under Salmonella enterica. RNAcentral describes it as "bacterial SSU rRNA". It matches the Rfam family "Bacterial small subunit ribosomal RNA", at positions 108 to 1104 of the family's 1533-position model. Lineage: Bacteria; Pseudomonadati; Pseudomonadota; Gammaproteobacteria; Enterobacterales; Enterobacteriaceae. RNAcentral also lists the same sequence under 2 other names. The record is from RNAcentral.
GAGUAAUGUCUGGGAAACUGCCUGAUGGAGGGGGAUAACUACUGGAAACGGUGGCUAAUACCGCAUAACGUCGCAAGACCAAAGAGGGGGACCUUCGGGCCUCUUGCCAUCAGAUGUGCCCAGAUGGGAUUAGCUUGUUGGUGAGGUAACGGCUCACCAAGGCGACGAUCCCUAGCUGGUCUGAGAGGAUGACCAGCCACACUGGAACUGAGACACGGUCCAGACUCCUACGGGAGGCAGCAGUGGGGAAUAUUGCACAAUGGGCGCAAGCCUGAUGCAGCCAUGCCGCGUGUAUGAAGAAGGCCUUCGGGUUGUAAAGUACUUUCAGCGGGGAGGAAGGUGUUGUGGUUAAUAACCGCAGCAAUUGACGUUACCCGCAGAAGAAGCACCGGCUAACUCCGUGCCAGCAGCCGCGGUAAUACGGAGGGUGCAAGCGUUAAUCGGAAUUACUGGGCGUAAAGCGCACGCAGGCGGUCUGUCAAGUCGGAUGUGAAAUCCCCGGGCUCAACCUGGGAACUGCAUUCGAAACUGGCAGGCUUGAGUCUUGUAGAGGGGGGUAGAAUUCCAGGUGUAGCGGUGAAAUGCGUAGAGAUCUGGAGGAAUACCGGUGGCGAAGGCGGCCCCCUGGACAAAGACUGACGCUCAGGUGCGAAAGCGUGGGGAGCAAACAGGAUUAGAUACCCUGGUAGUCCACGCCGUAAACGAUGUCUACUUGGAGGUUGUGCCCUUGAGGCGUGGCUUCCGGAGCUAACGCGUUAAGUAGACCGCCUGGGGAGUACGGCCGCAAGGUUAAAACUCAAAUGAAUUGACGGGGGCCCGCACAAGCGGUGGAGCAUGUGGUUUAAUUCGAUGCAACGCGAAGAACCUUACCUGGUCUUGACAUCCACAGAACUUUCCAGAGAUGGAUUGGUGCCUUCGGGAACUGUGAGACAGGUGCUGCAUGGCUGUCGUCAGCUCGUGUUGUGAAAUGUUGGGUUAAGUCCCGCAACGAGCGCAACCC